GGGGCUGCAGAACUUCCAGCCAGGACAGGCACAGCAAACAGGCAUCAUGGCAGGGAAGUGUCUGGCCCUGAGCAGUCAGCAGUCGCAGGACCAGGAAAGAGGGAGGGACCUGCAUGGACACCAGGGACUAAAGGUUACUGCAAUUCUCAAUGACAUUUCCAAUCCACUCCCACAGCUGGCCAGGGGUGAGCUGCUCCAAAGGCUCCCUUGGGGCACAUUCGGACAUUUAGAAUCCGGAGCAGGAACAAAGGGCAGCGGGGGAGGAAGUGGCCGUCAGUGUGGAGCUGAGCUUCCCAGCCCACCAGGGUUUCAGUCACUGUCCAGGGUGACAGUCCCAGCCCAUCAGUGACUGAAGCUGGCUUAGAUGACACCUGGGGGCCAGGCCCUUGUUUUACAGGCCAGGAAACUGAGGCUGGGGCCACACGACCGCAGCGCUCCUUGCGGACUUAUCUGCGACCUCACAGCAACCCGGUGGUGGUGGGAAAGCUCCUCUGGAGCAGGCAGAUAAGGAAACAGAGGCUCAGAGGAGUCCAGAGCCGGCUCAAGGUCACGCACCCGGUGAAGCCAGGGCUGGUGGCGCCUGGGCUUCCUGGUGCAAGGCACUUUCUGCUCUUCCCAUCCUGGUCUGGCAGGAACAGCCACUAAGCCAAGAGGAUCGGAGGCCCAGAGAGGCAGGGCAUAUACAAAGGCACAGUCGAGACUCUCCGGUGGAUUAUAUAACCCCUCCGAGGGGCUGUUCCCGGGGGGAACUGAGGCAGCCAAGGUGGCCCGGGGACCGCACAGCCAGUCUGGCCCACCCACCAGCCGGCUUCGCUCUUUCCAAAGAGUGACAGGCACCUGCACCUAUGUGUCGAGGAGCCCCCGGAGUGAGUGGAGUUUCAGCAAGUUCAUGGCACAACUUGGAGACCCAGGGCUGCCAAGCCAGGACCUACACGGCACUGCGGAAGCCACGCCCAGAGCGCCUGUCAAGGGCAUCCAGGGACUCAUCCUCUUCCAUGAACCCUGUCUGAGCGGUCACCCUGAGCAGGUCCUGCCCAUGGGACACAGUAGCCACAGGGUGCCUGAGGACACCUGGCCAGGUGAGGUUGGGGUGGAAGUGAUGCCCACACAGUCCCUGGGAGACAAGAACAGAGGCUGGGACAUGUGGUCCAGUGGUUAGUGUCGUGGGCUUGGACAAGGUAGCUCUGAGCCUGCCUGGCCACGUGACCUCUGGCAUGGCACAGAGCUCCCUGAGUGUCAGUGUCCUGUCCCCAGACCCCUGGGGGAUGGAGAUCCGCCCAUGUGGACAAGGAAGCAUAGGGGAUCAGGAAUGGGCUGGGGGCUGGGCACGGCCAGGGCACCCAGACUUCCCCCUUGGGCCAUGUGGAGAGGAGCGACCCUCUGAGCUCCCUGGGGCUGGGCUGUGGUGCAGGGACGCUCAGGUUGGGGCCUCAGUGGACAGGGAUGGGCAGGAGAGGGCACCACUGCAGCUGUACGGAGCACGAGUGUGCCAUGUGAGUGUGUGUGUAUGUACUGUCACGGGUGUGGGGUGUAUCGUUGGGCAUGUGGCAUUCACAGUCUCUGUUGUGUGUGUUCUGUGAAGUAUGUGUUGUGUGUGCAGUGUGUAUUGUGUGUGUUGUGUUGUAGUUGUGCAAUUCGGGCAGUGUGGGGGUGUGGAUGGCAUGUCCGCGUGCAUUGUACAGAUUUUGUACCCAUGGGUGUGCAUGUAGCGCUUGUGUGUAGCAUGUGUGUGGUGUGUGUGUGGUGUACAGCGGGGUGUGGUGUGCAUGUGCGGUGUGUGUGCCCUGUGACACGUGGAGUGGGUGGAAGCGGUGGCCUCUCCUCCCCCUCGGGCCUGUGUGGGUGGCCGUCCCACGCGCAGGCCCUGUGUGUGUCUGUGCGGGCAGUGGUGGCUGUGAGUCUCAGGAGAGAGAGUCUGUGUGUGCUGUGUCUGUGACCCCGAGGAGUACAGGGCUCAGCGGGGUCCCUGCUUCCCCAUCACUGCGCAGGGCUCUGUGCCCGUGGCUGCCAGCACCUGGGGACGGAAGAGCUCGCACCUGGCUGGGGCAACGCCGUAUCCAGCCUCGCACACACAGCUGCCUCCCCUGCAGCCACCGAGGGCCUCCUCCCCAGCCCUGGGCACCUCCCCCUCCCGGCCUCCAGGGACCCCCACGCCCUCCCCCACUGCCCAGUGCAAACCCGUGCACCUCCCAGGGCCUCAGUUUCCUCUUCUGCCGAAGGGAGGCCCCUGCUGUCCCAUCCAGGUCCUGGUGGCUGUGCAUCCUUGGGUUGCAGCCACAUCACUGCAGGGUUCAAGGCCGGCAUCUUUGACCCUCGCUGUCCAUGUGCCCCCCGCCCCGUAAAAGCCACACACGGCCGACGUGGGGGGCAGCCGGGCCAUCGCCCCCCCAUUGCCAACCCCUCCCCUUAAUCCCAUCUGCACAGUCCUUUCCCCUGCCUGUCGCAUAAGGCCACGUUCGCAGAUGGCAGGGGAGGACGCACACAGCCGGGGGCCGGUUGUGUGCUGGCCAAGGCUGCAGGAGCAGGCCCCGGGGUGCUGGGAGGGCGAGCUGAACCGGAACACCCCAUCUCGGCCACCUACAGGCCCACAAAUCUGGGCCGGGCUUCCGGCUUGAGAUGGGCUGGGAAGUCUCAGACUGCGCUGGCAUCACCCCCAGCCCGCUUCUGAGCCGCCAUGCUCUGUGUCCCCCGCUUUAAUCCUCCGUCCUUAUUUACUAUGUCGCUGCCUUUGGGAGGCCUGCUCCCCCGCAAACCCUGGCUCACCGGGCAGCCUGGGAUGACUCAUCUCUCUCUCUCCAUGAGAGCGAGCACAGCCUUUUCAAAGGGCUGGCUGGGGGAGGAAGCUAAAUUUAAAGCCAGGCUUCCCGAGCCCAUCACCUGCCAUGUCAAAAUUGCUGCCAUUUAAUUAGAAGUUGGACAUCAGGCAUUCCACCUCCACCCACCGGACCCCUACUCUGGGAGGGAGGGGAGGCUGAGACCCUGGUGGCCUGGGGAGGGACCCCAGCCCUGGAACUUUUCCUGGGAGUAGCCCUCCAUUCCUGAACGCUCUCCAGUCCUUUCUUCCUUUUCAAGAUCUUGCGUCCCAACUCCUGGCCCCAUUUCCCAAAUCAAGACACAAGAGCUGGGGGAUGUAGCUCAGUGGCGCUGUGCCUGCCUGGCAAGCACAAGGUCCUGAGUUUGAUCCCCUGGUAUCAGGAAAAAAAAAGACCCAAGGUCAGUGAUGAGAGAGAUUAGAGCCCUUCUCCUCUGGAGUCAAGGUGAGGGUGUGUCCAAGCCAGGAUUUAACCUCCAUCCGGCUCCAGGGGGUGGGAUAAUGGUCUUGCUGCUCCUGGGGCAGAGUGGGUACAGGUGGAUGCCCGUGCUUGGAGCAUGUUUUUCUACUAGUGGAAGGGGGAAGGGAAGGAAAGACGGGGCUCUCUGAAGAUGGAGACAUCGCCCAAGGCCCUGACCGAGGGGCCCUGGUGCCCCAGCCCAUCCUGCAGCUCCUUGACCUCCGCCACCCUUUGCUUCUGUCGGUAGGUGGGGCCAGCUGCCCAUGGCUGCUGUUCUUCUCCCAAGUGACUAUGGGGAUCAUGUGCUCUAGGAGCAGGUGACCAGGCACACAGGGCUGUCCAGUGCCUGGGAGCACUGGCUGCAGUCAGAGCUGAGUGAAUCCUGGCUGCAGAAGACACUGGUGAUGUUCGCAGCCUCGGUGUGCUCAUCUGUGAGAUAUGCAAGAUGUGACAGUUCAGGCCAGGCCGGGCACAUAGGAAGUGUGCAGCGUGCACACCUGAGGUGGGCCCAGGGAUUUGGGCGCCUGGGCGGUAAGAGCUGGGCACCCAGAAGCCUCCCAGGGCAGACGAUGCGCACGGAUACCAGCAGCAUGGUUUGCUGGAGCCAGAAGCCACACUCUCCCCUUCUGUCCUUACUGUCUCCCUCUGGGCACAGCAGUGAACAGGUUUCUCUUCCCCCCAGGGCAGGAGGCCAGGCAGGGUGCUCCCAGCCCUCUGGUGAAGCUGGGCUUUGUCUGUAGGCAGAGUACACAGGCAAGCCCGGCUCAGACCUCCUGAUCUACAUACCAGUGGAUUCGACCAUGAAUGAGUUUGUGGCUGGCUGUGCUAUGAGGAGGCCAGGCCUGGUUAGAGGCUGUCACUGCGGACGUGACCAGGAAGGGGCGUGUUCCUGUCCCUGCCUCCUCCCUGCUCUCUGUGCUUCCUGGCUGCCAUGAUUUGAGCAGCUUUUCCUCCUCCAGGCCUCUCCACUGUGCUGUUUCUCCCCUGGAGCCAGCCAACCGCAGGCUGAAACCGUGAGUCAAAAUAAACCUCUCUUCCUUUGAGCUGUGGGUGUUGGGUGUUUUGUUCCAGCGGCAGGGAAGUGACUAAGGUGAGACCACGUUGUAAGAGGGCACCAGCGAAGGUGGGCUGGGCAGGGGUAGGGUCUCCGAACAAGGAAAGGAGCUGGGGCCCAUCCUAUAGCCACAGCACCUGGAUUCUGCCAGCACAGAGUUGGGAAGUGGAUUCUAACCCUGGAUUCCAGGUAUGGACCAGCCUGGUGACACCCGGUGGGACCGUGAGACUGAAGCCCACCUUCCCUCAGCGCUUCUAGCCUGUGGAGCACUAGGAGGGGAUCUACCCUGCAGCUGCUCACGCCGGUGACUUCCCCGUGAGAUCCUGACAUCCUGGCCAGCACUGCACUGACCAGGCCACCCCUUGGCUCACAGAUGGAGGUGGUCACACCUUUGGGACAGAGCCAGCUCCUGGCUAGUCUUUCACGGCAGGAGAAGAGGGACAGCUCUGCCAGGUUGGCAGCGAGGUUCCUGCCAUGCAGAGCUCUUGGGGACAAGCCUGCACCCAGGGCUGCCUGUGACCUGCUUGUCUUCCUGUGACCUACUGAGGCAACCAGGUCGGGCCCCACAGUGUCCCAGGUUCCUAGCCCGGAGGGUGUCAGCCACCAGGGGGCUUCAGGGAGCCAGGAGGUACUGGAAGGGAGAUGCCUUCAUCACAUUCCCAAGCUGAAGGCAGGAGAAUGGGGACUGAGUGCUGCUCUUGGUCUCCCCAAGCCUCAGUUUCCCCACCUGCACCCUGCCACUGAUAACAACCCCCCCUCAGGCACCUCAGGCAGCCCCAGGCUCUGGUUUUAGAGGUUAUGAGUGCUAGGUUGCGGGAAGCUCGAGAGUGAGUGCUGUCCCAUCCUGUCCGUAUCCACAGUUUCACAGGUGACAAGCUGAGAACAGAGGUGACAAGUGAGGUCUCACUCUGAGCCCUGGGCCUGACACACCAGCUGGCGAGCUGGACAGAUGCCCCCAUCCCACACAGCCCCUUUUGUCAUAUGUGGACCUCAGCAGGUAGACAGGGCCUGGCCAGGAAGUGGGGUCCCACCCCAGACCACAGCCCGGCAGCCCCCAGCCAGCUGGGCAGGCGACAAAGCCCACUCCCGGCUUCCACACUGGAUAUCCAACCCCAGCUUGGUUCUCCGCAGCCCACACCUCUCAUGGCUGGUGGUGUCUUCCCCAAGGGGUCUUGAGCCCACACAGAGUCUGGCAAGGAGAAUUAACACGACCCAAGCUCAUAGGGCGAGUGGAGCGCCCUGGCAUCCCCCUAACCCAGCCGGCACUCCCUGGGGCGCCCUGGAGUAAUCCCUGGAGUGAGCAGUCAGGCCUCAGGCUCACCAAGCAGGGCCCUUUGUACCUGGGAGAAAUGCUGGGCACCGGGCAUGGCAGGCCCCUCAUCUCAGAGCUUUUGAAAGGCAGCCUGAGCCAGUCCUGCGCCCAGCCUGAGGCCACACAGCUCAUGAGAGCGCAAAGCCUGCCCCGUGGCUAGGGUGGCCUUGCCCUGUACAUGGUCCCCUUAAUCCUCCAAAGGCCAAGCAGGCAGGACAAGGUCUCCUUUGUAGCUGUCUGGGCCUGGCCAGGGGCCGCACUGUUUCUAGCAUAAGCCCCGGCUUUUCUGUUACUGGGUUUGGAGCUGGAGUGCAGCCUCCUCUUCCCCUUCCGGGCCACACACGGAGUGUCUGAGCAGUAAAUACCUGUUUCAUCAGGCUAGUUAGGUUUCCUGCCUGACAGGGCUCUAUGCCUGUGGUCCCCUCAGAUGGGCUCCCAGAGCCCUUUCUCCCAUCCUAGAAGUCACUUCUAUGGAUUCCUGAUAGCAAAAAUGGGCCCAGAGAGGUUAAGUGACUUGCCCAGGGUGACACAGCUGGGAAGUUUCCGAGCUGGGCUUCAACCGGGGUUGUCUGCCCCCAACCCAGGUCCCUGCUCUUGACUUUGAUGCAGCAAGGAGCAGAGAGGCGGUUGUGGAAGUGGAACAUGCCUGGCUGCACCUCUGCAGGC
This 6304-nucleotide long non-coding RNA is filed under the name Heterocephalus glaber (naked mole-rat). RNAcentral's name for it is "lncRNA (ENSHGLG00000042206.1)". The record is from RNAcentral. Lineage: Eukaryota; Metazoa; Chordata; Mammalia; Rodentia; Bathyergidae.